This 271-nucleotide ribosomal RNA is filed under the name Salegentibacter agarivorans. Its description in RNAcentral is "23S rRNA. Bacterial LSU". It matches the Rfam family "Bacterial large subunit ribosomal RNA", at positions 2641 to 2925 of the family's 2925-position model. The record is from RNAcentral. Lineage: Bacteria; Pseudomonadati; Bacteroidota; Flavobacteriia; Flavobacteriales; Flavobacteriaceae.
UCUGUAGUGGGCGUUAGAAAUUUGAGUGGACCUGAUCCUAGUACGAGAGGACCGGAUUGGACCAACCUCUGGUGCACCAGUUGUUCCGCCAGGAGCAUUGCUGGGUAGCUACGUUGGGAAGGGAUAAGCGCUGAAAGCAUAUAAGCGCGAAACCCACCACAAGAUGAGAUUUCUUUAAAGGACCGUGGGAGACGACCACGUUGAUAGGCCAUAGGUGUAAAGGCAGCAAUGUCAUAGCCGAGUGGUACUAAUAAUCCGUAAAGCUUGAUGC